UCUAAACCUAUAAAUAUGUGUUCUUAGCCCAACACUUCCCACUGUAAUCUUCACUCUAGAUUUUUGUUUUCUUAAGCAAAAAUUAUCAUCUUCAUCUGAAAUUAGUAUGGAAAAAAUGGCUGCUAAUAGGGCCACAAAGUUUUUGCUUUUGGCUGCUCUUCUUGCAAUCCUGCUCCUCAUUUCCUUUGAGGUGGCUACUGCUGUGGUUCAUAAUGCGGUGCCAGAACUUAAGCUUGGACGCAGGCUCCUUCAAGCGGACUACAACACCACCGGGCGAUCAGGAUACAACAGCUACAACACCACUGGGCGGGGAGGAUAUAAUUGAUUCACUAAUACUUAGUAAUAUAUGUAACUGUGUCCCAAAUAAUAAAGUUGCUGCUUUAUGUUGCUAUAAUAUUAUGCUUGAUGCCUGAACCAUAAUAUACUUUGGUUCUGCAUAAGUUGUUGCUAGGAAGACAAUAAUGGCGGUGGUGUCAUAUAUAUAUAUAUAUAUAUAUAUAUAUGUUACUUUUAGAUAGUAAUAUAGAAAAGGAUGUGUGUCCUAGCUCCUACGUGUGUGUAUGGAGUUUCAGUGUUAAUAAAGCAGUCGUCAUCUACGACUGAGAAUCUGCAGCUUUUCUCGUCUGCAUCAAUGUCUUUGGUUUUUGUAAUUAAUAAAGCAACUAAUUGGGAUAC
Molecule: long non-coding RNA, 675 nt
Organism: Quercus lobata
Lineage: Eukaryota; Viridiplantae; Streptophyta; Magnoliopsida; Fagales; Fagaceae
Exons: 2
Source: RefSeq, a predicted model, not a curated record